UAUAUCGGAACGUACCCUAGAGUGGGGGAUAACGUAGCGAAAGUUACGCUAAUACCGCAUACGCACUGAGGUGGAAAGCAGGGGAUCGCAAGACCUUGCGCUCAUGGAGUGGCCGAUGUCAGAUUAGCUAGUUGGUGGGGUAAAGGCCUACCAAGGCGACGAUCUGUAGCUGGUCUGAGAGGACGACCAGCCACACUGGAACUGAGACACGGUCCAG
Molecule: ribosomal RNA, 217 nt
Filed under: uncultured bacterium
Lineage: Bacteria
Description: partial 16S ribosomal RNA
Rfam family: Bacterial small subunit ribosomal RNA
Source: RNAcentral